This 268-nucleotide ribosomal RNA is filed under the name uncultured bacterium. RNAcentral's name for it is "partial 16S ribosomal RNA". It matches the Rfam family "Bacterial small subunit ribosomal RNA", at positions 57 to 305 of the family's 1533-position model. The record is from RNAcentral.
GCAAGUCGAACGAGAACGGGAUUGCUUGCAAUCCUCAGUAAAGUGGCGCACGGGUGAGUAACACGUGGAUAACCUACCUGAGGUUCUGGAACAACAUUGCGAAAGCGAUGCUAAUACCGGAUGAAAUGUUUUUCUCUUCGGAGAAUUACAUGAAAGGGUGCCUCUAUUUGUAAGCAUCUGACAUUAGAUGGGUCCGCGGAUCAUUAGCUUGUUGGUGGGGUAAUGGCCUACCAAGGCAACGAUGAUUAGCUGGUCUGAGAGGAUGAUC